RNAcentral lists this ribosomal RNA (534 nucleotides) under Anaplasma phagocytophilum. Its description in RNAcentral is "bacterial SSU rRNA". It matches the Rfam family "Bacterial small subunit ribosomal RNA", at positions 64 to 624 of the family's 1533-position model. Lineage: Bacteria; Pseudomonadati; Pseudomonadota; Alphaproteobacteria; Rickettsiales; Anaplasmataceae. The record is from RNAcentral.
UAACGGAUUAUUCUUUAUAGCUUGCUAUGAAGAAUAAUUAGUGGCAGACGGGUGAGUAAUGCAUAGGAAUCUACCUAGUAGUAUGGGAUAGCCACUAGAAAUGGUGGGUAAUACUGUAUAAUCCCUGCGGGGGAAAGAUUUAUCGCUAUUAGAUGAGCCUAUGUUAGAUUAGCUAGUUGGUAGGGUAAAGGCCUACCAAGGCGAUGAUCUAUAGCUGGUCUGAGAGGAUGAUCAGCCACACUGGAACUGAGGUACGGUCCAGACUCCUACGGGAGGCAGCAGUGGGGAAUAUUGGACAAUGGGCGCAAGCCUGAUCCAGCUAUGCCGCGUGAGUGAGGAAGGCCUUAGGGUUGUAAAACUCUUUCAGUAGGGAAGAUAAUGACGGUACCUACAGAAGAAGUCCCGGCAAACUCCGUGCCAGCAGCCGCGGUAAUACGGAGGGGGCAAGCGUUGUUCGGAAUUAUUGGGCGUAAAGGGCAUGUAGGCGGUUCGGUAAGUUAAAGGUGAAAUGCCAGGGCUUAACCCUGGAGCUGC